UGGGGAAUAUUGCACAAUGGGCGAAAGCCUGAUGCAGCAACGCCGCGUGAGGGACGACGGCCUUCGGGUUGUAAACCUCUUUUAGCAGGGAAGAAGCGAAAGUGACGGUACCUGCAGAAAAAGCACCGGCUAACUACGUGCCAGCAGCCGCGGUAAUACGUAGGGUGCAAGCGUUGUCCGGAAUUAUUGGGCGUAAAGAGCUCGUAGGCGGUUUGUCGCGUCUGCUGUGAAAAUCCGAGGCUCAACCUCGGACCUGCAGUGGGUACGGGCAAAACUAGAGUGCGGUAGGGGAGAUUGGAAUUCCUGGUGUAGCGGUGGAAUGCGCAGAUAUCAGGAGGAACACCAAUGGC
This 350-nucleotide ribosomal RNA is filed under the name uncultured bacterium. RNAcentral describes it as "bacterial SSU rRNA". It matches the Rfam family "Bacterial small subunit ribosomal RNA", at positions 355 to 716 of the family's 1533-position model. The record is from RNAcentral.